This 255-nucleotide ribosomal RNA is filed under the name uncultured bacterium. RNAcentral's name for it is "partial 16S ribosomal RNA". It matches the Rfam family "Bacterial small subunit ribosomal RNA", at positions 524 to 776 of the family's 1533-position model. The record is from RNAcentral.
UACGGAGGGUGCAAGCGUUAUCCGGAUUCACUGGGUUUAAAGGGUGCGUAGGCGGGUUGGUAAGUCCGUGGUGAAAUCCCCAAGCUUAACUUGGGAACUGCCGUGGAUACUAUCAAUCUUGAAUAUCGUGGAGGUAAGCGGAAUAUGUCAUGUAGCGGUGAAAAUGCUUAGAUAUGACAUAGAACACCAAUUGCGUAGGCAGCUUACUACACGAUCAUUGACGCUGAGGCACGAAAAGCGUGGGGAGCAAACAGG